This 1029-nucleotide ribosomal RNA is filed under the name Sipalinus gigas. RNAcentral describes it as "partial large subunit ribosomal RNA". It matches the Rfam family "Eukaryotic large subunit ribosomal RNA", at positions 106 to 817 of the family's 3401-position model. Lineage: Eukaryota; Metazoa; Arthropoda; Insecta; Coleoptera; Curculionidae. The record is from RNAcentral.
AGCCCAGCACCGAAUCCCGCGGCCGACAUCGGGCGCCGGGAAAUGUGGUGUUUGGGAGGGUCCAAUAUCUCGAGAUUAUAUGACGCGUCCAAGUCCUUCUUGAACGGGGCCACAGCCCAUAGAGGGUGCCAGGCCCGUAGUGACCGUCGAUGAUCGCGGGAGGAUCUCUCCUUAGAGUCGGGUUGCUUGAGAGUGCAGCCCUAAGUGGGUGGUAAACUCCAUCUAAGGCUAAAUAUAUACCACGAGACCGAUAGCGAACAAGUACCGUGAGGGAAAGUUGAAAAGCACUUUGAAGAGAGAGUUCAAGAGUACGUGAAACCGUUUAGGGGUAAACCUGAGAAAUCCGAAAGGUCGAAGGGAGAAAUUCAUUCGCGUUUCGUAAUUGGCGUUAAGCGAGAUCGUGUGACGGAAAACGGCGUUUCGUGCGACGUUUUUCGCACCUUUCGUUUUUCGAUCCGAUAACGAACGCGUGCACUUUUCUCCUGGUAGGACGUCGCGAUCCGUUGAGUGUCGGUCUACGGCUUAUGGUGGAGCCCAUACGUAUAUGAUUUACGUCAUAUACGUACGGACCCGUAAGUUUACAUUUUUGCUGACCGGCUCGCUCGACGGUAUAUGAAAGGUUUAAGGCCGCGUUUUUUUAUACGCGUUCGACUCGCGACAAGCGCGUCAGAUGAUUGUCGGCAAUCGGACCUGGUGCCGAUUCUGACCUCUGAUGACUGUUGGUUGCGAGAAUAAGAGAGAGGGAGUUCUCUUUCUUUCUCUUACUCGAACAGACCUUUAACCGAUCUGCGACGCUAUAGCUUUGGAUAAUUUCAGGACCCGUCUUGAAACACGGACCAAGGAGUCUAGCAUGUGCGCGAGUCAUUGGGAAUCAUUAAACCUAAAGGCGCAAUGAAAGUGAAGGUUCGUCUUACGCGCGAACCGAGGGAAGAUGAGCGGUUUACCCUUAAAAGUAGCCGUUCCGCAUUCCCGGGGCGUCUCGUUCUCAUUGCGAGAAGAGGCGCACCAAGAGCGUACACGCUGGGACCC